This 985-nucleotide long non-coding RNA is filed under the name Mytilus galloprovincialis (Mediterranean mussel). The record is from RNAcentral. Lineage: Eukaryota; Metazoa; Mollusca; Bivalvia; Mytilida; Mytilidae.
AAAAAAUAAUUUAGAGAAAAGCGUCAGGAUUUUUACGAUUUGAUUUUCUUUCGUGUGAACGAUGAACAAGUGUUUCUCACUUAAUAAUUUUCUUUUGUUUAAAUAUGAACAAAAGGAUACGAACAAUAGUACAAAAUUCCCAUUAAACAGGACGUUUAAAACCUCUAUUGAUGAAUUAUACUCAAGAUACUUUUAACUUUAUCCACUCCCGAUGCAAAAUAUAACUUGAGUAUUUCACUUUAGCAGGAUUGGGUAACAAACUGUUAAAAUUUGCUCGUGUACUGUUAAAACAUUAUACAAUUCCUACUUUGUACUCAAUAAAUGAAUGAUUACUGAUACUUUUUUAUAAUUAUCAUUUAAUAAAGUUUUUAAUAGUGCAAAAAUGCAAUAUAUAGUGCAACCUGACAAACAUCGCAAUGAUAAGAACUCGCAAUUUGAUAUGAUUUACAUAUAUCGCAAUUAUAAUUUUUGCACGUUUGUCCAUUCUUUGAAUAUCGCAAUAGUUAAUGCAGGGGAUAAUUAAAAAAAUUACAGUAAUCAAUUCUUCUUAAAUUCACAGCCUUGAAUACUUUCCCGUUAUUACAUAUCAUAUGGUGCAUUUUAACUUUAAUUUUAAACUAAAGUUAUAAAGUGACGAAAGAGGGUUUGUUGAAAGAAAGAUGAGAAAAAACAAUACAGUCGAACACAACAAGUUGUCUGCAUACCACAAGAUUUAUAUAUACUAGUAUUUGACUAAAGAAAGGAACGAAAUUGCAUUCACCGUUAAAAACUGACUAAAAGCAAUUUCUUAAAGACAUCAGCUGAAACGACGACAACACAAACGUGAAUAAAAAAAACACUUCAUAGACAUGUUAGUUUUUGAGAAAAAUGCAUGAAUAAUAUUUAUAAUUGAAAUAGCUUAUUCGAAUUAAACUUUGGUAUCAUCAGCUCAACACUCAGUAUCUCGGUUUUAACAUGAUUAAUAGCAAACUUUCUUGAAUUGCCC